Pelobates cultripes (western spadefoot toad) is the source of this 12638-nucleotide non-coding RNA. The record is from the annotation of a GenBank genome assembly. Lineage: Eukaryota; Metazoa; Chordata; Amphibia; Anura; Pelobatidae.
CCCACAUCCCUAGUGCCUGCUGGAAUUGUUUUCUCAGCUUUGGAUAUGAGAAUCAGCUCACAGGUGGCAGGUAAUACAGUUUUACAGUUUUAUAGUGUAAUACGUGUCUGACUAUCUUUUUUUUUUGCUUCUUGUUUUGCUUUCAUUAAGCUUUAUCCAGGAGGGCAUUAAAUACAUUGCAAGCCCUGAUAUCUUGCAAAGUACGAUAAAUCUUUGUAGUAAAUAAGAUCUCAUUACAGUGCUGCAAAUUCUAGGUUUUUGAGGCAUCAUAGCUAAUUUACUACAAAAUCUAUUAUUAGCUAGCAAAAUUACUGCUACCAGAAAAAAAUGCUUUUAAUUGGAACAAAACAUCUCUUCAGGUAAUGAUAGAAAAUAUGAUGGAAUUAGAUGUUUACUAGAUGGAUAUAGACUGAUCAGCCUCAACAUUAAAACCACUGACAGGUGAAGUGAAAAACAUUGAUUAUAUCGUUACAAUGGCACCUGUCAAGGAGUGGGAUAUAUUAGGCAAGUGGUGAAGAGUCGGUUCUUUAAUUCCCUGUGUUGGAAACAGAAAAAAUCGGUAAGCAAAAAGAUCUGAGUGUCUUUGACAAGGGCCAAACAAUUGGGUAAAAGCAUCUCGAAAACAGCAGUCUUGUGGGCAGGGCUGGACUGGCCCACCGGGAUAACGGGAAAUUUUGCUGUGGGCUGCGGCACCUGGGACAGCCCUAAUCAUCGUGCUAAAGUAAAUUAAAUGAUUUUGACAUUGGACUGUGUGGGGAGUAAUGAGAGAGGAGCUGGGGGCUGGUACAGCCACAAUUAGGCUGCUGGCGGCCGAAGGGAGACCUGUCAGUCUCCCUGCACAAUGCUCAGCAAUUCUGGCUGCAUGCUCCGCCUCUGCACACAAGCCCCGCCUCUGGAACAUAGCUCUGCCUCCCAGACUCAGGCCCUGCCCCCACGCACUUUGCUGACCUCGCUGGAAGGAAGAGGCCACAAAAUGGCAAGUUCACCCUCCAGUGCCAGGUAAGCUUCAGCCAUGACAGUGAUUGUGUAUGUGUUUGUGCCUGCUAGUGAGUGAGUUUGUGUGUGUGCCUACUAGUGAGUGAGCUUGUCUAUGUGUGUGUGUUCCAGAUAGUGAGUGCGCUUGUGUGUGUGUGUUUGUGUGUGCCUGCUAGUGAGUCUGUGUGUGUGUGCCUGCUAGUGAGUGAGUUUGUCUGUGUGUGUGCCUGCUAGUGAGUGAGCUUUUGUGUGUGUUUUCCUGCUAAUGAGUAUAUGUGUAUGCGGGCAUGCUAGUGAGUGAGCUUGUGUGUGUGCACCUGCUAGUGAGUGAGCUUGUGUGUGUGUUUGUGCACGCCUGCUAGUGAGUGUGUGUGUGUGUGUGCCUGCUAGUUAGUGAGUUUGUGUGUGUGCCUGCUAGUAACUGAGCUUGUAUUUGUGUGUGCCUGCUAGUGAGUGAGUAUGUUUGAAUGUAUGUAUGUAUGUAUGUGUGCCUGCUAGUGAGUGAGCUUGUGUGUGUGUGUGUGUGCGCCUGCUAGUGAGUGAGCUUGUGUGUGUGUGUGUGCGUCUGCUAUUGAGUAAGCUUGUGUGUGUGUGUCUGCUAGUGAGUGAGCAUGUAUAUGUGUGUGCCUGCUAGUGAGUGAGCUUGUCUGUGUAUGUACCUGAUAGUGAGUGAGUCUGUGUGUGUGCCUGCUAGAGAGUGAGUCUGUGUGUGUGCCUGCUAGUGAGUGUGAUUGUCUAUGUGUUCCUGCUAGUGAGUGAGUCUGUGUGUGUGACUGCUAGUCAGUGAGCUUGUCUGUGUGUGUGUACCUGCUAGUGAGUGAGCUUGUGUGUGCUUGCUAGUUAGUGAGUCUGUGAGAGUGUGUGACCGCUAGUGAGUGAGCAUGUGUAUGUGUGUGCCUGCUAGUGAGUGAGCUUGUCUGUGUAUGUACCUGAUAGUGAGUGAGUCUGUGUUUGUGCCUACUAGUGAGUCUGUGUGUGCAUGUGUGUGCCUGCUAGUGAGUGAGAUUGUCUGUGUGUGCCUGCUAGAGAGUGAGUCUGUGUGUGUGCAUGUGUGUGCCUGCUAGUGAGUGAGAUUGUCUAUGUGUUCCUGCUAGUGAGUGAGUCUGUGUGUGUGACUGCUAGUCAGUGAGCUUGUCUGUGUGUGUGUACCUGCUAGUGAGUGAGCUUGUGUGUGCUUGCUAGUGAGUGAGUCUGUGAGUGUGUGUGCCUGCUAGUGAGUGAGCAUGUGUGUGUGUGUGCCUGCUAGUGAGUGAGCUUGUGUGUGUGCACCUGUUAGUGAGUGAGCUUGUGUGUGUGUGUGUGUGUGUGUGCAUGUUAGUGAGUGAGCGUGUGUAUGUGCCUGCUAGUUAGUGAGCUCUUAUGUGUGCUACUGAGUGAGAUUGUGCAUGUGUGUGUGCCUGCUAGUUAGUGAGUCUGUGUGUAUGCAUGCCUGCUAGUGAGUGCGCUUGUGUGUGUGUGUGCACCUGCUAGUGAGUAAGCUUGUGUGUGUGUGUGUGUGCUAGUGAUUGAACAUGUGUGUGCCUGCUAGUGAGCGAGCUUGUAUGUGUGCCUGCUAGUGAGUGAGAAUGUGUGUGUGUGUGUGCCUGCUAGUGAAUGAGCUUGUGUGUGUGUGCCUGCUAGUGAGUGGGCUUAUGUAUGUGUGUGGCUGUUAAUAAGUGAGCUUGUAUGUGUGUGUGUGUGCCUGCUAGUGAGUGAGCUUGUGUGUUUGUAUGUGCCUGCUAGUGAGUGAGCUUGUGUGUGUGUGUGUGCCUGCUAGUGAGUGAGCUUGUGUGUGUGUGUGCCUGCUGGUGAGUGAGUGUGUGUUUGUAAUAGCCUGCUAAUAGAGUGAACUUGUGUGUGUGUGUGUGUGUGCCUGCUUGUGGUAACCUUGUGUACGUGCCUGCUAGUGAGUGAGAGCAUGUGUGUGUGUGUGUGUGUGCUGGCUAGUGGGGAAACGUGUGUGAGUAGUACUUGACUGAAAAUGGGAGUAGUAUGUAUGUGUCUGCUAGUGGAGUAAGCUUGUGUGCAUGUGUGUGCCUGCUAGUGAGUGAGAUUGUCUGUGUGUGCCUGCUAGAGAGUGAGUCUGUGUGUGUGUUCCUGCUAGUGAGUGAGUCUGUGUGUGUGCCUGCUAGUGAAUGAGCUUGUGUGUGUGUGCCUGCUAGUGAGUGGGCUUAUGUAUGUGUGUGGCUGUUAAUAAGUGAGCUUGUAUGUGUGUGUGUGUGCCUGCUAGUGAGUGAGCUUGUGUGUUUGUAUGUGCCUGCUAGUGAGUGAGCUUGUGUGUGUGUGUGUGCCUGCUAGUGAGUGAGCAUGUGUGUGUGCCUGCUAGUGAGUGAGCAUGUGUGUAUGCCUGCUAGUGAGUGAGUCUGUGUGUAUGCGUGUCUGCUAGUGACUGAGCUUGUGUGUGUGUGUGUGUGAGUGCCUGCUAGUGAGUGAGCAUGUGUGCCUGCUACUGAGUGAGCUUGUGUGUGUGUGUUCCUGCUAGUGAGUGAGCAUGUGUGCGAGUGAGUGAGCUUGUGUGUGCGCCUGCUAGUGAGUGAGCUUGUGUGUGUGUGCGUCUGCUAGUGAGUAAGCUUGUGUGUGUGUGUGUGUGUGUGUGUGUGUGACCGCUAGUGAGUGAGCAUGUGUAUGUGUGUGCCUGCUAGUGAGUGAGCUUGUCUGUGUAUGUACCUGAUAGUGAGUGAGUCUGUGUUUGUGCCUACUAGUGAGUCUGUGUGUGUGCAUGUGUGUGCCUGCUAGUGAGUGAGAUUGUCUGUGUGUGCCUGCUAGUGAGUGAGUCUGUGUGUGUGUGUGUGUGCCUGCUAGUGAGUGAGCUUGUCUGUGUGUGUGUACCUGCUAGUGAGUGAGCUCGUGUGUGCCUGCUAGUGAGUGAGUCUGUAUGUGUGUGUGCCUGCUAGUGAGUGAGCAUGUGUUUGUGUGCUCCUGCUAGUGAGUGAGUGAGUCUGUGUGUGUGCACCUGUUAGUGAGUGAGCUUGUGUGUAUGUGUGUGCAUGCUAGUGAGUGAGAGUGUGUAUGUGCCUGCUAGUGAGUGAGCUCUUGUGUGUGCCUGCUACUGAGUGAGCUUGUGCAUGUGUGUGUGCCUGCUAGUUAGUGAGUCUAUGUGUAUGCAUGCCUGCUAGUGAGUGCGCUUGUGUGUGUGUGUGUGUGUGUGCACCUGCUAAUGAGUAAGCUUGUGUGUGUGUGUCUGCUAGUGAAUGAACAUAUGUGUGUCUGCUAGUGAGCGAGCUUGUGUGUGUGCCUGCUAGUGAGUGAGCAUGUGUGUGUGUACCUGCUAGUGAAUGAGCUUUUGUGUGUGUGUGUUUGCCUGCUAAUGAGUGGGCUUGUGUAUGUGUGUGGCUGUUAAUGAGUGAGCUUGUAUGUGUGUGCCUGCUAGUGAGUGAGCAUGUGUGUUUGUGUGUGCCUGCUAGUGAGUGAGCUUGUGUGUGUGUGUGCCUGCUAGUGAGUGAGCUUAUGUGUGUUGUGCCUGCUAGUGAGUGGGCUUUUGUGUGUGUGUGCUCCUGCUAGUGAUUGAGCUUGUGUGUGUGUGCCUGCUGGUGAGUGAACUUGUGUGUGUGUGUGUGUGUGCCUGCUUGUGAGUAAGCUUGUGUGCGUGCCUGCUAGUGAGUGAGCAUGUGUGUGUGUGUGCAUCUGCUAAUGAGUAAGCUUGUGUGUGCCUGCUAGUGAGUGAGCGUGUGUGUGUCUGCUAGUGAGUGAGCUUGUGUGUGUGUGUGCCUGCUAGUGAGUGGCGUGCUAGUGAGUGAGUCUGUGUGUAUGCGGUGUAUGUUAGUGACUGAGCUUGUGUGUGUGUGUGCUCCUGCUAGUGAGUGAGCUUGUGUGUGUAGCAGCCUGCUAGUGAGUAAGCUUGUGUGUGAGUGCCUGCUAGUGAGUGGGAGUGUGUGUGCCUACAGUGAGUAGCUUGUGUGUGUGUGUGCCUGCUAGUGAGUGAGUCUGUGUAUGCUGCCUGCUAGUAGGUGAGAUUAUUUGUGUGUGUGUGUGCACCUGCUAGUGAGUAAGUUUGUGUGUGUGUGUGUGUGUGCCUGCUAGUGAGAGAGCUUGUGUGUGUGUGUCUGCUAGUGAGUGGGCUUGUGUAUGUCUGUGGCUGUUUGUGAGUGAGCUUAUGUGUGUGUGCCUGCUAGUGAGUGAGCUUGUUUGUGUGUGUGUGUGUGUGUGUGUGUGUGUGUGUGUGCACCUGCUAGUGAGUAAGUUUGUGUGUGUGUGUGUGUGUGUGUGUGUGCCUGCUAGUGAGUGAGCUUGUGUGUGUGUGCCUGCUAGUGAGUGUGCUUAUGUAUGUGGGUGGCUGUUAAUGAGUGAAAUUGCCUUGCAAAAGUAUUCAUCCCCCUUGACUUUUUACCUAUUUUGUUACAUUACAGCCUUAAGUUUAAUGUUUUAUUAAUCUAAAUUGUAUGUGAUGGAUCAGAACACAAUAGUUGGUGAAGUGAAAUGAGAAAAAUAUAUACAUAAAUAUAUACAUAAAACAUUUUUUUAGAAAUUGAAAACAGAAAAUUGGCAUGUGCGUAUGUAUUCACCCCCUUUGUUAUGAAGCCCAUAAAAAGCUCUGGUGCAACUAAUUGCCUUCAGAAGUCACAUAAUUAGUGAAAUGAUGUCCACCUGUGUGCAAUCUAAGUGUUACAUGAUCUGUCAUUACAUAUACACACCUUUUUUGAAAGGCCCCAGAGGCUGCAACACCUAAGCAUGGGGCACCACUAACCAAACACUGCCAUGAAGACCAAGGAACUCUCCAAACAAGUAAGGGACAAUGUUGUUGAGAAGUACAAGUCAGGGUUAGGUUAUAAAAAAAUAUCCAAAUCUUUGAUGAUCCCCAGGAGCACCAUCAAAUCUAUCAUAACCAAAUGGAAAGAACAUGGCACAACAGCAAACCUGCCAAGAGAUAGCCGCCCAUCAAAACUCAGAUUGGCUAGAAGAGAGCCAUUACUUUCAGCAAAAAAAAAAAAUGGCAUGUUUUGAGUUUGCGAAAAAGCAUGUGGGAGACUCCCAAAAUGUAUGGAGGAAGGUGCUCUCGUCUGAUGAGACUAAAAUUGAACUUUUCCGCCAUCAAAGAAAAUGCUAUGUCUGACGCAAACCCGACACAUCACAUCACCCAAAGAACAAAAAAACAUCCCCACAGCAUGAUGCUGCCACCACCAUGUUUCACUGUGGGGAUGUUUUUUAGCAGUCGGGACUGAGAAACUAGCCAGAUUUGAGGGAAAGAUGGAUGGUGCUAAAUACAGGUAUAUUCUUGAGCAAAAUCUGUACCACUCUGUGUGUGAUUUAAAGCUAGGACAGAGGUUUACCUUCCAGCAGGACAAUGACCCAAAACACACUGCUAAAGCAACACUUGAGUGGUUUAAGGGGAAAUAUGUAAAUGUGUUGGAAUGGCCUAGAGCUUAUGUGUGUGUGUGCCUGCUACUGAGUGAGUGUGUGUGCCUGCUACUGAGUGAGUUUGUGUGUAUGUGUGCUCCUGAUAGUCAAAGCCCAGACCUCAAUCCAAUAGAAAAUCGGUGGUCAGACUUAAAGUUUGCUAUUCACAAGCACAAACCAUCCAACUUGAAGGAGCGGUAGCAGUUUUGCAAGGAGGAAUGGGGAAAAAUCCCAGUGGUAAGAUGUGGCAAGCUCAUCAAGACUUAUCCAAAGCGACUUGGAGCUGUGAUUGCCGCAAAAGGUGGCUUUAGGGGGGUGAAUAGUUAUGCACAUGUACUUGUUCAGUUAUCUUGUCCUAUUUGUUGUUUGCUUCACAAUAAAAAAAUAAAAAAAACAUCUUCAAAGUUGUGGGCAUGUUCUGUAAAUUAAAGAUGCAAAUGCUCAAACAAUUCAUUUUAAUUCCAGAUUGUGAGGCAACAAAACACGAAAAAUGCCAAUGGGGGUGUUUAUGUAUACACCCCCAUACACUGUAUGUGUAUAGAAAAUUGCGUCCAUGCGCAACUAUGAGUAUUACCAACAAUCUAACUAUCUGACCCCUGAUCAAUCGGGUUUUUGCCCGAAUCACUCCACUACAACUGCCCUCUUAAAAGUUUGCAAUGACAUCCAAUCUGGCAUGGAACAAGGAGACCUAACUGGAGCUGUUUUCCUUGAUUUUGCACGACAUUCUACUGCACAAACUCAGGUAUUGGUGAUUGUCAGCUAACCUGGUUUUCGAUCAUAUGUAUCGGAUCGUGCAGGGCCGGACUGACCACUCGGGCAUAUCGGUUAUGGACCGAGGGCCCGAGCCAGCCAUGGGCCCAGCCGCACAGCCAUGCUCCAGCUGGAGAGAUUAGAGAUCUCUCCAACUGGAAUGACAAAAUUAAAAAAAAAUCUCUUUCAUUAAUAGGUUGCUGGGGCCCCUGAUGGAGCGCAGGGCCCCACAACCUACCACUCAGCAUAUUACCUCCCUCCCACUUAAUGAGACCUGGUAGUUUCACCUCCUCUCUGCCAGGUCUCCUGCUUCCUGUCCCAUGUGGCACUGUGUGAUGGGGAGAGGCGGGGCCAGGAAGUGACAUCACUUCCUGUACUCUCCUCUCAUACAGAGUCUGAUCAGCAAGGGGAAGGAGUAGCAGCCUGGGAGACCAGACUGAGCAAGGAGAAAGGUAGGCACUAAUCACCCCUUCCACUCACUGUGUCACUAGUCACCCCUUCCCUCUGUCACUAGUCACCCCUCCCUCUGUCACUAGUCACCCCUCCCUCUGUCACUAGUCACCCCCUCACUCUGUCACUAGUCACCCCUCCCUCUGUCACUAGUCACACCUCCUUCUGUCACUAGUCAACCCCUCCCUCUGUCACUAGUCACCCCCUCACUCUGUCACUAGUCACUCCUCCCUCUGUCACUAGUCACCCCCUCCCUCUGUCAUUAGCCAUACCUCCCUCUGUCACUAGUCACCCCUCACUCCCUUUGUCACUAGUCACCCCCUCCCUCUGUCACUAGUCACCCCCUCCCUCUGUCAUUAGUCACCCCUUCCCUCCCUCUGCCACUAGUCACGCCUUCCCUCCCUCACUCUGCCACUAGUCACGCCUUUCCUCCCUCACUCUGCCACUAGUCAUGCCUUCCCUCUCUCUGUGACUUGUCACUUCCUCCCCUCCCUCUGUUACUAGUCACUUCCUACCCUCCAUCCCUCUUUCACUAGUCACCCCCCCUCACUGUGUCUGCCCCUCACUCUGCCACCACUCACCCCCUCCCUCCCUCACUCUGCCACAAGGUACCCCCUCAAUCUGCCACCUGUCACCACCUCCCACACUCUUCCACCUGUCACCCUCUCCCUCACACACUCUGUCACCUGUCAUAUGUGCAUUCACACUGACUCUAUCUACAAAAAAGCACAUGUAGUCAUCCAGACAUGCACAAGUGCAUUCACACGGACUCAAAUACAAACAUGCAUUGAUACACAGGUCUUCACAAUAUACACAUCCAAAGGAAUGCCGUAUUAUAUGAUAGUUAUAUUUAAAGGGACACAAUAGUCACCCAGAUCACUGCAGCUCAAUGAAGUGGUCUGGGUGCCAGGUCCCUCAGGUUUUAACCCUUCAGAUGUAAACAUAGCAGUUUCACAGAAACUGCUAUGUUUACUUAGCAGGCUUAACCCAACCUCUAGUGGCUGUUACGAGCGCAGAGGGAGCCUGGUGCUGGAUAAAGGUAAGCUACGGGAGGAGGAACCUGAGGUUGGGGGCACCCUUAGGGCACUAUAGUGUCAGGACAACCACUUUGUUUUCCUGACACUAAAGUGAUCCUUUAACAUUUAUUUGAUGUAUUUUAUCCAAAAAAAUUGUACAGCAAAUGCAGUAUGUAGUAUGUAGUAUACGCACCUGCACCUAAAAAACCCACCUUAAUAAACUCAAUACACUGUAUAACUCGUUCUGCCAAUUUGCAGUACAAUGUAAUUACAGGACCCACCCUAGUGACAUGCUAAAAGAACUGAAUUGGCUGUCGCUGGAAUCCAGACGCACCCUUCAUCUUUCCAGCCUUGUGUUUAAGAGCUUUUCUGGAAAGCCCCCACAUUACCUGACCAGAAUGCUCUCACCAGCUGUUCCCACCUCCUAUAACCUCCGAUCCAGUACGAGCACUUUAUUUAGUCUACCUCAAUACAAAAAGAAAGCAGCCCAAUCCUUUUCCUACAGAGCACCGUAAUUAUGGAACAUUCUCCCGCACACUUUCAAAUCAUCCCCAGGCUUAAAGUCCUUUAAGAGAUCCCUCUCCUCAAAACAGAAUGCACGGGUUUAAUGGUUGAUUAUUAGAGUUGAGCAGACACCUGAAUGUUCGGAUUCGCCAGGUUCGGCUGAACUUCGGCAAAAAGUCAAACUUGACCCGAACUUGACCCCGAAACCAAACCCGAUUGAAGUCAAUGGGGACCCGAACUUUUGGGCACUAAAAUGGCUCUAAAAAGUCCUGGAAAGGACUAGAGGGCUGCAAAAGGAAGUAAAAUGUAUUGCCUAAGUACUAAUAUACUUAACCAGUGCAAGAAGAAGAAUGUUACACUGUAUACAAUUUUAAAAAAAGUUUAUACAAACAUAGCCGGGAUUCAGCUGUAAGCAUUUGCAACACUUACAACAACCAAGUAACACACAUUCAUAUAAAAUGUAAGUUACUUGUCCAGUCAAUGUAAUGACAGGAAUUAAUUUCUUUAUGGCAAUGGUGUUCCCUUAUAGCUGUGGCAUCUUUCACCAGGAUAAUUCAACAUGCCACACUGCAAAAAUUGUUCAGGAAUGGUUUGAGGAACAUAGCAAAGAGGUCAAAGUGUUACCUUAGCCUCCAACCCAAUUAAGCGUCUGUGGGAUGUGCUUGAACAACAAAUCCAUGGAUGUCCCACCUCGCAACUUGCAGGACUGUGUGUGUGUUUGUGUAUAUCUGUGAUUAUGUGUAUCUCUGUAUGUAUUUAGUAGAUAGCUCCCUUAUUUGGUGACUGUCUAUGACUGUGUGUGUGUGUGUGUGUGACUCUCUGCCUUUGUUUGUGUGUGUGACUCUGUGUGUUUGACUGCCUGUGAUUGUGUGUGUGUGUGUGACUGUCUGCCUGUGAUUGUGAAUGUGUGUGUGUGUUUGUGACUGUGUGUGUAUGUGUGACUGUCUGCCUGUGAUUGUGUGACUGUGUGUGUGUGUAUGUGUGACUGUCUGCCUGUGACUGUGUGUUUGACUGUCUGCCUGUAACUGUGUGUGAGUGACUGUCUGUGGGACUGUGUGCAUCUGACUGUGUCUGCCUGUCUUCUUCCUGCAGUGAGACGGCAGCCAGGAUAUGGUGUCAUCGCAGCCUCGGUGUCAUUACAGGGCGUGUGAGGGACCUGUGCAGGAAGAGCACAGAGUUCCCAGCAGCAACCAUUGACCACCAGGAACUGAGGAUCCACUCCAGCCCUUCUAGAACAAGGUAGGGAGGCUGGGUGGACCUAUUAAUUAUUAAAUAUGUGUAUGUAUGUAAUGUUUGCAUGUGUAUGUGAUUGUGUGUCUGAACAAUAUAAAGCACUGAACAACUCUAGCCCCUCUUAUAUCUCCUCACAGAUCCAUAGGUAUGUCCCUUCUCGGUCUCUCCGCUCUGCCCGUGACCACCUCCUGUCCGUUGUCCGCACCCGUAUGGCCAACUUGUGCUUGCAGGACUUCUCGCGGGCGGCUCCCUUCCUAUGGAAUAGCCUACCUCCCGCCAUCAGACUCUCCCCUAGUCUUGCAUCUUUUAAGAAGUGCCUUAAAACCCAUCUCUUUAGGAAAGCUUAUGGCCUCCAAGACUAACCCCUACCUCACAUACCUGUCUCUUGCCCUCUCCUAAAGGGCAACCCACCUUAUUUGAUUGCAAAUUCCUGUCCUACUGUGUUUUACACCCCACCUCCUAUAGAAUGUAAGCUCGAUUGAGCAGGGUCCUCUUCAACCUAUUGUUCCUGUAAGUUUAUUUGUAAUUGUCCUAUUGAUAGUUAAAUCCCCUCUCAUAAUAUUGUAAAGCGCUACGGAAUCUGUUGGCGCUAUAUAAAUGGCAAUAAUAAAUAAAUAAAUAAAUAAAUAAACGUGUGUGGGUCUGUGAUUGUGUCUGUGUAUAUCUGUGAUUAUGUGUAUCUCUGUGUAUGUGUAUAGAUAGCUCCUUAUUUGGUGUCCUUAAAUAUGGCAAGCCCACAUAAAGAUAGCAAAUAGGGGAGUUAUCUGCUAAACAAAGAUUGAAAUUAAGAGGUGUCAGGCAGCCCACAACAAGAAAUUUGGGUGGCUAAUGUGAAUUAUAUGCAAAUGUGUUGUCAGAUGCCAGCAUGCAGAGUACAGUGUAUCUGCGUGUGUGUGUGUGUAUAUGUAUCUGCAUGUGUGUAUGUCUGUAUAUGUGUAUAUGUGCAUACAUCUCAAAAUCUCGCCAACACUACACACAAAUACACUCAUGCAUUUCAACGUCAACACUACAUACAAACCCCACCAUUAUAUAUAACCAUACCACUGCAUUCAAAUACCACACAACACACAAAUGCAUGCUUGCAUUCAAAUGCCAACACUACAUACAAACACACUCCUGCAUUCACUCACACAUACUCCAUACAAAAACAUGCAUACAUUCACACACAAACACUGCUCAGUGCUAAAUAAAUUUUUUAAAAAAUUGGUUGUUUUUUACAUUUAAAAGUUGAGGGGGGGUAGGGAAGGGUACGCCCCUGGGUUUUAAUGGUGUGGCUAGUGAUGUCCCAAAUGGUUUGCCGAACGGUUCGCAAACAGUUCGCCACGAACGGUUCGCCACGGACUCAUCAUUGAGUAAACUUUGACUCUGUACCUCACAGUCAGCAGACACAUUCCAGCCAAUCAGCAGCAGACCCUCCCUCCCAGACUCUCCCACCCCCUGUCUGCUGCUGAUUGGCUGGAAUGUGUCUGCUGACUGUGAGGUACAGGGUCAAAGUUUACUCAAUGAUGAGUGAGCGGCAAACCGUUCGGCGAACCGUUCGGGACAUCACUAGUUGUGGCUGAUCAGACUAUGCAGGGCUGGUCAAUGAGGUGAGAAUUGUCAGGAAUUGUCAACUUUCAUAUGAGUUUUAUUACUCUGGCCUUCAAUUCACUUUGACUUCACAACAAUUCUCAUUUUAGUGAAUUACCCUGAUUGUUUUCUAUGGGUACAAAAAAUCCUAUCUUGUUUUUUUUUGGUUUUUUUAAAUCCUAUGUCUCUCCAAAACAUGUGAUGGUGGUCACAUGUAGCCUGGCCUGAUAUAGCCUGAUUGAGUAAGUGCACCGCAAUAAAAUUGAAUCUAUUCAUUGUCAAAGUGCAGAGAAUCAUGAUUCACUUUUCGCUUCUGUAGUGUAGAGUCUUGCCUGCUAAUUUGUAAAACAAUGUAGGAGUUAUUUGUAUGACCCUAUUAAAUUGAUCUUUACCCUCCACUGCACUCAUGGUGAAGGAAUGAUAAGAGACUGUUUGUUUAGACACUAAAUUGUAUAUUAUUAUCCUCAACAACUGCACAUAGGGUAUAGAAAGAUGGGGGUACUCACUGACACCCACUCAUUAAGCCCCACAUCCCAUGUACAUUUUUUUAUUGCCCCUCGCUCCCCUCUCCCCAUUCUGUGCUCUAGAGUCUUAGGGGUCACAAAAGUGUUUUGUAUUCUUUUUUUGUUGUUGGUUUUGUUUUAUUUUUAAUUUGGCACACAGCAAGUUUCUCUGUUUACAUGUGUAAUUAAUAAUUCCCUUCAUAUUUUCUCCAGCUACCUGGACUCUAUGCACUUGCUCCAAGAACAAAAUUAUGCUGGAAGUGCUGUGGUACGCAAGGAAAUCAGUUUGUGAAUGCGACCGUCAUCUCAGACCAGGAGGCAUGAG